RNAcentral lists this ribosomal RNA (763 nucleotides) under uncultured Streptococcus sp. RNAcentral's name for it is "bacterial SSU rRNA". It matches the Rfam family "Bacterial small subunit ribosomal RNA", at positions 28 to 776 of the family's 1533-position model. The record is from RNAcentral. Lineage: Bacteria; Bacillati; Bacillota; Bacilli; Lactobacillales; Streptococcaceae.
GACGAACGCUGGCGGCGUGCCUAAUACAUGCAAGUAGAACGCUGAAGGAGGAGCUUGCUUCUCUGGAUGAGUUGCGAACGGGUGAGUAACGCGUAGGUAGCCUGCCUGGUAGCGGGGGAUAACUAUUGGAAACGAUAGCUAAUACCGCAUAACAGUAGAUAUUGCAUGAUAUCUGCUUGAAAGGUGCAAUUGCAUCACUACCAGAUGGACCUGCGUUGUAUUAGCUAGUUGGUGAGGUAACGGCUCACCAAGGCGACGAUACAUAGCCGACCUGAGAGGGUGAUCGGCCACACUGGGACUGAGACACGGCCCAGACUCCUACGGGAGGCAGCAGUAGGGAAUCUUCGGCAAUGGACGGAAGUCUGACCGAGCAACGCCGCGUGAGUGAAGAAGGUUUUCGGAUCGUAAAGCUCUGUUGUAAGAGAAGAACGAGUGUGAGAGUGGAAAGUUCACACUGUGACGGUAUCUUACCAGAAAGGGACGGCUAACUACGUGCCAGCAGCCGCGGUAAUACGUAGGUCCCGAGCGUUGUCCGGAUUUAUUGGGCGUAAAGCGAGCGCAGGCGGUUAGAUAAGUCUGAAGUUAAAGGCUGUGGCUUAACCAUAGUACGCUUUGGAAACUGUUUAACUUGAGUGCAAGAGGGGAGAGUGGAAUUCCAUGUGUAGCGGUGAAAUGCGUAGAUAUAUGGAGGAACACCGGUGGCGAAAGCGGCUCUCUGGCUUGUAACUGACGCUGAGGCUCGAAAGCGUGGGGAGCAAACAGG